This 281-nucleotide unclassified non-coding RNA is filed under the name uncultured fungus. RNAcentral describes it as "partial contains 5.8S ribosomal RNA, internal transcribed spacer 2, and large subunit ribosomal RNA". The record is from RNAcentral. Lineage: Eukaryota; Fungi.
AACGCACAUUGCGCCCGCCAGCACUCUGGCGGGCAUGCCUGUUCGAGCGUCAUCUCAACCCCUCGGACCUCCUGGGCCUCGCGCCCCGGGGGACCGGCGUUGGGGACCGGGCGAGCCCCCCCCGGGGCCGCCCGCCCCCUAAAUGCAUCGGCGGUCGCGCCGCGAUCCCCUGCGUAGUAGCACACCUCGCAGGCCGGAGCAGCAGCGCGCCCACGCCGUAAAACGUGCCUCGGCACCACCAAUUUGACCUCGGAUCAGGUAGGAAUACCCGCUGAACUUAA